UGGCUAAUGUGUCUUGGCUAAUGUGUCUUGGCUAAGGUGUCUUGGCUAAGGUGUCUUGGCUAAGGUGUCUUCGCUAAUGUGUCUUGGCUAAGGUGUCUUGGCUAAUGUGUCUUGGCUAAUGUGUCUUGGCUAAUGUGUCUUGGCUAAUGUGUCUUGGCUAAGGUGUCUUGGCUAAUGUGUCUUGGCUGAUGUGUCUUGGCUAAUGUGUCUUGGCUAAUGUGUCUUGGCUAAUGUGUCUUGGCUAAGGUGUCUUGGCUAAUGUGUCUUGGCUAAGGUGUCUUGGCUAAUGUGUCUUGGCUAAUGUGUCUUGGCUAAGGUGUCUUGGCUAAGGUGUCUUGGCUAAGGUGUCUUGGCUAAUGUGUCUUGGCUAAGGUUUCUUGGCUAAUGUGUCUUGGCUAAUGUGUCUUGGCUAAGGUGUCUUGGCUAAGGUGUCUUGGCUAAUGUGUCUCGGCUAAUGUGUCUUGGCUAAUGUGUCUUGGCUAAUGUGUCUUGGCUAAUGUUUCUUGGCUAAUGUGUCUUCGCUAAUGUGUCUUGGCUAAUGUGUCUUGGCUAAGGUGUCUUGGCUAAUGUGUCUUGGCUAAUGUGUCUUGGCUAAUGUGUCUUGGCUAAGGUGUCUUGGCUAAUGUGUCUUGGCUAAGGUGUCUUGGCUAAGGUGUCUUGGCUAAGGUGUCUUGGCUAAUGUGUCUUGGCUAAUGUGUCUUGGCUAAUGUGUCUUGGCUAAGGUGUCGUUUCCAAGGUGUCUCGGCUAAGGUGUCUUGGCUAA
Molecule: long non-coding RNA, 763 nt
Organism: Anopheles funestus (African malaria mosquito)
Lineage: Eukaryota; Metazoa; Arthropoda; Insecta; Diptera; Culicidae
Exons: 3
Source: RefSeq, a predicted model, not a curated record